GCCUAAUACAUGCAAGUCGAGCGGAUCUUCAUUAGCUUGCUUUUGAAGAUCAGCGGCGGACGGGUGNAGUAACACGUGGGCAACCUGCCUGUAAGACUGGGAUAACUUCGGGAAACCGGAGCUAAUACCGGAUAAUCCUUUCCCUCACAUGAGGGAAAGCUGAAAGACGGUUUCGGCUGUCACUUACAGAUGGGCCCGCGGCGCAUUAGCUAGUUGGUGAGGUAACGGCUCACCAAGGCAACGAUGCGUAGCCGACCUGAGAGGGUGAUCGGCCACACUGGGACUGAGACACGGCCCAGACUCCUACGGGAGGCAGCAGUAGGGAAUCUUCCGCAAUGGACGAAAGUCUGACGGAGCAACGCCGCGUGAGCGAUGAAGGCCUUCGGGUCGUAAAGCUCUGUUGUCAGGGAAGAACAAGUACCGGAGUAACUGCCGGUACCUUGACGGUACCUGACCAGAAAGCCACGGCUAACUACGUGCCAGCAGCCGCGGUAAUAC
RNAcentral lists this ribosomal RNA (498 nucleotides) under marine sediment bacterium ISA-3198. RNAcentral describes it as "bacterial SSU rRNA". It matches the Rfam family "Bacterial small subunit ribosomal RNA", at positions 46 to 526 of the family's 1533-position model. The record is from RNAcentral.